Non-coding RNA from Caenorhabditis elegans, 150 nucleotides. Lineage: Eukaryota; Metazoa; Nematoda; Chromadorea; Rhabditida; Rhabditidae. The record is from Ensembl.
UGAUAUACAUUUUUCCUCUCCAGGCUUAGAAAGAUUAUUUCCUAAACCUAGAAAUAAAAAAUGUGGUACACGUUUUUAUUGUUUUUAACUUAAAAAAAUACUCUAAAACUAAGGGCAUGUAAUACACAAGUACCAAAAAUUCUACUCACA